Molecule: ribosomal RNA, 677 nt
Filed under: Escherichia coli
Lineage: Bacteria; Pseudomonadati; Pseudomonadota; Gammaproteobacteria; Enterobacterales; Enterobacteriaceae
Description: partial 23S ribosomal RNA
Rfam family: Bacterial large subunit ribosomal RNA
Source: RNAcentral
CUAUGUGUUGUUGGGUAGGGGAGCGUUCUGUAAGCCUGUGAAGGUGUGCUGUGAGGCAUGCUGGAGGUAUCAGAAGUGCGAAUGCUGACAUAAGUAACGAUAAAGCGGGUGAAAAGCCCGCUCGCCGGAAGACCAAGGGUUCCUGUCCAACGUUAAUCGGGGCAGGGUGAGUCGACCCCUAAGGCGAGGCCGAAAGGCGUAGUCGAUGGGAAACAGGUUAAUAUUCCUGUACUUGGUGUUACUGCGAAGGGGGGACGGAGAAGGCUAUGUUGGCCGGGCGACGGUUGUCCCGGUUUAAGCGUGUAGGCUGGUUUUCCAGGCAAAUCCGGAAAACCAAGGCUGAGGCGUGAUGACGAGGCACUACGGUGCUGAAGCGACAAAUGCCCUGCUUCCAGGAAAAGCCUCUAAGCAUCAGGUAACAUCAAAUCGUACCCCAAACCGACACAGGUGGUCAGGUAGAGAAUACCAAGGCGCUUGAGAGAACUCGGGUGAAGGAACUAGGCAAAAUGGUGCCGUAACUUCGGGAGAAGGCACGCUGAUAUGUAGGUGAAGCGACUUGCUCGUGGAGCUGAAAUCAGUCGAAGAUACCAGCUGGCUGCAACUGUUUAUUAAAAACACAGCACUGUGCAAACACGAAAGUGGACGUAUACGGUGUGACGCCUGCCCGGUGCCGGAAG